Molecule: ribosomal RNA, 1528 nt
Filed under: Klebsiella pneumoniae
Lineage: Bacteria; Pseudomonadati; Pseudomonadota; Gammaproteobacteria; Enterobacterales; Enterobacteriaceae
Also listed under: 6 other names
Description: bacterial SSU rRNA
Rfam family: Bacterial small subunit ribosomal RNA
Source: RNAcentral
AGAGUUUGAUCAUGGCUCAGAUUGAACGCUGGCGGCAGGCCUAACACAUGCAAGUCGAGCGGUAGCACAGAGAGCUUGCUCUCGGGUGACGAGCGGCGGACGGGUGAGUAAUGUCUGGGAAACUGCCUGAUGGAGGGGGAUAACUACUGGAAACGGUAGCUAAUACCGCAUAAUGUCGCAAGACCAAAGUGGGGGACCUUCGGGCCUCAUGCCAUCAGAUGUGCCCAGAUGGGAUUAGCUAGUAGGUGGGGUAACGGCUCACCUAGGCGACGAUCCCUAGCUGGUCUGAGAGGAUGACCAGCCACACUGGAACUGAGACACGGUCCAGACUCCUACGGGAGGCAGCAGUGGGGAAUAUUGCACAAUGGGCGCAAGCCUGAUGCAGCCAUGCCGCGUGUGUGAAGAAGGCCUUCGGGUUGUAAAGCACUUUCAGCGGGGAGGAAGGCGGUGAGGUUAAUAACCUCAUCGAUUGACGUUACCCGCAGAAGAAGCACCGGCUAACUCCGUGCCAGCAGCCGCGGUAAUACGGAGGGUGCAAGCGUUAAUCGGAAUUACUGGGCGUAAAGCGCACGCAGGCGGUCUGUCAAGUCGGAUGUGAAAUCCCCGGGCUCAACCUGGGAACUGCAUUCGAAACUGGCAGGCUAGAGUCUUGUAGAGGGGGGUAGAAUUCCAGGUGUAGCGGUGAAAUGCGUAGAGAUCUGGAGGAAUACCGGUGGCGAAGGCGGCCCCCUGGACAAAGACUGACGCUCAGGUGCGAAAGCGUGGGGAGCAAACAGGAUUAGAUACCCUGGUAGUCCACGCCGUAAACGAUGUCGAUUUGGAGGUUGUGCCCUUGAGGCGUGGCUUCCGGAGCUAACGCGUUAAAUCGACCGCCUGGGGAGUACGGCCGCAAGGUUAAAACUCAAAUGAAUUGACGGGGGCCCGCACAAGCGGUGGAGCAUGUGGUUUAAUUCGAUGCAACGCGAAGAACCUUACCUGGUCUUGACAUCCACAGAACUUAGCAGAGAUGCUUUGGUGCCUUCGGGAACUGUGAGACAGGUGCUGCAUGGCUGUCGUCAGCUCGUGUUGUGAAAUGUUGGGUUAAGUCCCGCAACGAGCGCAACCCUUAUCCUUUGUUGCCAGCGGUCCGGCCGGGAACUCAAAGGAGACUGCCAGUGAUAAACUGGAGGAAGGUGGGGAUGACGUCAAGUCAUCAUGGCCCUUACGACCAGGGCUACACACGUGCUACAAUGGCAUAUACAAAGAGAAGCGACCUCGCGAGAGCAAGCGGACCUCAUAAAGUAUGUCGUAGUCCGGAUUGGAGUCUGCAACUCGACUCCAUGAAGUCGGAAUCGCUAGUAAUCGUAGAUCAGAAUGCUACGGUGAAUACGUUCCCGGGCCUUGUACACACCGCCCGUCACACCAUGGGAGUGGGUUGCAAAAGAAGUAGGUAGCUUAACCUUCGGGAGGGCGCUUACCACUUUGUGAUUCAUGACUGGGGUGAAGUCGUAACAAGGUAACCGUAGGGGAACCUGCGGUUGGAUCACCU